GGUCAAGUGACUAAGCGUACACGAUGGAUGCCUUGGCAGUCAGAGGCGAUGAAGGACGUGGUAAUCUGCGAUAAGUCCUGGGGAGCUGAUAAACAAGCUGUGAUCCAGGAAUUUCCGAAUGGGGAAACCCAACGGCAUAAGCCGUUAUUCCUUAGCUGAAUACAUAGGCUUUGGAAGGCGAACCCGGGGAACUGAAACAUCUAAGUACCCGGAGGAAAAGAAAUCAAUUGAGAUUCCCCCAGUAGCGGCGAGCGAACGGGGACCAGCCCUUAAGCAAUUGAUGAGUUAGUGGAACACUCUGGAAAGUGUGGCCAUAGUGGGUGAUAGCCCCGUACACGAAAGCUCAUUUAUUGUGAAAUCGAGUAGGACGGGACACGUGAAAUCCUGUCUGAACAUGGGGGGACCAUCCUCCAAGGCUAAAUACUCCUGACUGACCGAUAGUGAACCAGUACCGUGAGGGAAAGGCGAAAAGAACCCCGUUGAGGGGAGUGAAAUAGAACCUGAAUCCGUGUACGUACAAGCA
RNAcentral lists this ribosomal RNA (523 nucleotides) under Salinisphaera sp. G21_0. RNAcentral describes it as "partial 23S ribosomal RNA". It matches the Rfam family "Bacterial large subunit ribosomal RNA", at positions 1 to 572 of the family's 2925-position model. The record is from RNAcentral. Lineage: Bacteria; Pseudomonadati; Pseudomonadota; Gammaproteobacteria; Salinisphaerales; Salinisphaeraceae.